Cebus imitator (Panamanian white-faced capuchin) is the source of this 1253-nucleotide long non-coding RNA. RefSeq lists it as uncharacterized. The record is from RefSeq and is a predicted model, not a curated record. The transcript has 3 exons. NCBI's taxonomy places the organism in Eukaryota, Metazoa, Chordata, Mammalia, Primates, Cebidae.
CAAGACUGACUGUGAGAAACCCUGGGAGCUCAGGAAGGAAGGAGCCGCUCAGAAGCAGGGACAGGGAGCUGGUGGGAAAGACCAGAAGUGAGCCCUAAGCCGCAGCCAUCUCUGUCCUGGCCGCCUCAGGGCACCCUGAGAAGACCAGGAGAUGUGGGUGUGGCGGCUGCUCUUUUGGCUCCUCCUGCUGGAGUUUCUCAGCCAUCACUCCACCCUUGCGAUCAGGUUUCUACUUGAUUAUUUGUAUCCUGGACACGACUUUCUUGGCAUUCGGUGGAUGCUUUUCACUACUGUGUUUCUGGGAGUUUCUACAGUUGGCCUUUUCCUCCAAAAAAUUAUCUUCUGUGUGAGUAUACUAACUUCCUGUAAAGGUAUACUUGUAAUCAAAAAGAAGAAAUUAUUUAAAACAAUUCAUGGUUCUGGACUUUAUUAUGUAUAUUCAGUUUUACCAAAAACAUCAGGGAAAUGAUUUAUUAGCAUAAGAAUUAUAAAAAUAUCUGCCAUUUACAUUAUGAAAAUUAAAUAGGUUGAUGUUUGUUUAAUAGAAUGUCAACAGAGCUUUGGGUCAAACAUAAGGUUUUUUUUUUUUAAACCUUUGUGCCCUUUAUCAGAAAUGGAGUAUGAAGUUUUGGCAUUUAAAUAGGAAAUUCUGUCUAAACUUUUCUGCUUUAUAAUUCUAUUGUGUGGCUGGAAGGAAAGCUUUCACUGUCCUCUCUAAUGGUUCACCGCAGAAGUGAACUAACAACAGACAGCUUAACAGGAGAAGAAAAGCAUAGGACAGGCAUAAACAUGGGAGCCAGGCAAAAAAUGAGACUGUAAGAAGGGUCAGAUGGUUAAAAAGCACCCUCUUUUCAGGGGCGAGGGAGAUAGAUGGAGGUGGAGGCAAUUUAGAGGGGCAGCAAAUGAAUUUUAAAGGAAAUGAAAGAGUCCAAGGAACAAACAGUUGGCCUGAGACAAAGUUCCUCUGAGAUCAUAGGGACAAGGUGACAAACUGCAGGAAGGUGAAGGGCAGAGCUGCAUGGCAUCUCAUGAUGCAAAGAAAGCCCCAGAGAAUCUGUUGGAACUGCCCUUCAGAGAAUCAGUGAAAAGUGUGUCUGGGCAGGGUCAUUUUGAAUGACGUCAUCAAAGUGCAUGUUCCCGGUUGCAGGUGGAGAGGGAUCAGUAUGUCCAAAGUCUGUACUUGAUAGGAAUUUGGCUGCUAAGUUGUGCCAUCAUUUGAGUUUUUUUGUCCAUUGGGUAAAUUGAGCUCUAUA